This 497-nucleotide ribosomal RNA is filed under the name uncultured bacterium. Its description in RNAcentral is "partial 16S ribosomal RNA". It matches the Rfam family "Bacterial small subunit ribosomal RNA", at positions 28 to 507 of the family's 1533-position model. The record is from RNAcentral.
GAUGAACGCUGGCGGCGUGCCUAAUACAUGCAAGUCGAGCGAACAGACGAGGAGCUUGCUCCUCUGACGUUAGCGGCGGACGGGUGAGUAACACGUGGAUAACCUACCUAUAAGACUGGGAUAACUUCGGGAAACCGGAGCUAAUACCGGAGAAAAUAUUAAACCGCAUGGUUCAAUAGUGAAAGACGGUUUUGCUGUCACUUAUAGAUGGAUCCGCGCCGCAUUAGCUAGUUGGUAAGGUAACGGCUUACCAAGGCAACGAUGCGUAGCCGACCUGAGAGGGUGAUCGGCCACACUGGAACUGAGACACGGUCCAGACUCCUACGGGAGGCAGCAGUAGGGAAUCUUCCGCAAUGGGCGAAAGCUUGACGGAGCAACGCCGCGUGAGUGAUGAAGGUCUUCGGAUCGUAAAACUCUGUUAUUAGGGAAGAACAAAUGUGUAAGUAACUAUGCACGUCUUGACGGUACCUAAUCAGAAAGCCACGGCUAACUACGUG